GGGGAUGUAGCUCAGUGGUAGAGUGCUUGCCUAACACGCAUGAGGUCCUCGCUUGAAUCCCCA
RNAcentral lists this transfer RNA (63 nucleotides) under Heterocephalus glaber (naked mole-rat). It matches the Rfam family "tRNA". From Rfam's summary of the family: Transfer RNA (tRNA) molecules are approximately 80 nucleotides in length. Lineage: Eukaryota; Metazoa; Chordata; Mammalia; Rodentia; Bathyergidae. The record is from Rfam by way of RNAcentral.